GACGAACGCUGGCGGCGUGCCUAACACAUGCAAGUCGAACGGGGUGAAUUCCUUCGGGGAGUUCACUUAGUGGCGAACGGGUGAGUAACGCGUGAGGAACCUGCCUUUCAGUGGGGGGACGAACAGUUGGAAACGAACUGCUAAUACCGCAUAAUGCAGCUAGACCGCAUGGUCUUACUGCCAAAGCUUUAUGUGCUGAAAGAUGGUCUCGCGUCUGAUUAGCUUGUUGGCGGGGUAACGGCCCACCAAGGCGACGAUCAGUAGCCGGUCUGAGAGGAUGAACGGCCACAUUUGGGACUGAGAUACGGCCCAGACUCCUACGGGAGGGCAGCAG
RNAcentral lists this ribosomal RNA (334 nucleotides) under uncultured bacterium. RNAcentral's name for it is "bacterial SSU rRNA". It matches the Rfam family "Bacterial small subunit ribosomal RNA", at positions 28 to 354 of the family's 1533-position model. The record is from RNAcentral.